CCGAAGUCGCUUAGCCCGGUAUGGCGGCCGCCUCGAAAGCGGCUGUUCGAAAGGACACGCAGGUUCGAAUUCCUGUCCGAA
This 81-nucleotide transfer RNA is filed under the name Candidatus Nanohalarchaeota archaeon. Its description in RNAcentral is "Candidatus Nanohaloarchaeota archaeon tRNA-Ser". The record is from RNAcentral. Lineage: Archaea; Nanobdellati; Candidatus Nanohalarchaeota.